UUUAAUUCGCGUUAGAUAAACACUGUAAUGAUAGUAAUUGAUAGAUUGACAUUGGUCUCUGUGGGAUCGAUAAUAUUUUAUAUUACUCUGAUGUAUUUUGUAUACUUGUGGAAAGCACGCCUCAAAGAAACAAACAAAAUAAUUUUUAGACCUCUCCCAUAGGAGUCACUUAGCAGCCAAUAAGAAGAAUGGACUUGGCUGCAUGAAAGAGGCUCUCUCUCUUAUUCAAAAAACAACCAAUAUCGUUCUCAUUCUCUCCCUCAAACACUUUUCCU
Molecule: long non-coding RNA, 275 nt
Filed under: Lathyrus oleraceus (garden pea)
Lineage: Eukaryota; Viridiplantae; Streptophyta; Magnoliopsida; Fabales; Fabaceae
Description: Pisum sativum (pea) long non-coding RNA (PSAT_LNC024667)
Source: RNAcentral